RNAcentral lists this unclassified non-coding RNA (200 nucleotides) under Bombus terrestris (buff-tailed bumblebee). RNAcentral's name for it is "misc RNA ENSBTSG00005022582.1". Lineage: Eukaryota; Metazoa; Arthropoda; Insecta; Hymenoptera; Apidae. The record is from RNAcentral.
CAAAAAAGUAAUAAUUUCAAAACGAAUGAAAUUAAAUUAACUAAUUUGAUAAUUCACAGUAAAUAGACUCCUAAAUAACAACAAAUAACUCCAAGUAUUCAACAAUUAAGUACUAUUUUAUGUUAGAUAACGUCGAAUAUAUAUUUGUAAAAGGAUUUAUUGCAACAGAGAGAUAUUUAUUUUACACGACUGUCCUACAU